CCCUACGGGGGGCAGCAGUGGGGAAUAUUGCACAAUGGGGGAAACCCUGAUGCAGCAACGCCGCGUGAGUGAUGACGGCCUUCGGGUUGUAAAGCUCUGUCUUCAGGGAGGAUAAUGACGGUACCUGAGGAGGAAGCCACGGCUAACUACGUGCCAGCAGCCGCGGUAAUACGUAGGUGGCGAGCGUUGUCCGGAUUUAUUGGGUUUAAAGGGGGCGCAGGCGGCACGGCA
This 231-nucleotide ribosomal RNA is filed under the name uncultured bacterium. Its description in RNAcentral is "partial 16S ribosomal RNA". It matches the Rfam family "Bacterial small subunit ribosomal RNA", at positions 337 to 585 of the family's 1533-position model. The record is from RNAcentral.